CUACGGAGGACGCGAGCGUUAUCCGGUUUCAUUGGGUUUAAAGGGUGCGCAGGCGGCCGUGCAAGUCAGCGGUGAAAGCCCGGGGCUCAACCCCGGAAGUGCCGUUGAUACUGCGUGGCUGGAAUGCGGUCGAGGCGGGCGGAAUGUGGCGGGUAGGGGGGAAAUGCGUAGAUAUGUCACAGAACGCCGAUAGCGGAGGCAGCUCGCCAGGCCUGCAUUGACGCUCGGGCACGAAAGCGUGGGGAUCGAACAGGAUUAGAUACCCUGGUAGUCCACGCCGUAAACGAUGGGCGCUCGUCGUCGGCGACAGACAGUCGGCGGCCAAGCGAAAGCGAUAAGCGCCCCACCUGGGGAGUACGGUCGCAAGGCUGAAACUCAAAUGAAUCGACGGGG
Molecule: ribosomal RNA, 393 nt
Filed under: uncultured bacterium
Lineage: Bacteria
Description: partial 16S ribosomal RNA
Rfam family: Bacterial small subunit ribosomal RNA
Source: RNAcentral